UUUUUUUUUUUAUAAGAAAGGACAGGCUUUAGAAACAAGGUGGGGAAGGAGAAAGAAAAAAGAGAUCAGUACAUGUCAAAAGAGGUAUCUUCUGCAAUUCCUCUGACCUGAUUAUUGGGCUCAUUUUAGAAAUUUAACUAUUUAUCUAUUUCUUGUUCUCUGAACAGCAGACAGUAAUAAUCAAAACUUUGGAGAUGUAAAGUCAUCACUUGCCACUGCUGUGAGUCUGUCCCCAGUUCAUCAUCACAGUGAUGGUCUGGGCAGGCCUCCCAGGUGGUCUCCAAAGCCACCUUCACAGCCCGUAGGCCAAGAAGUCUUUGUUGAGCACUGGCUUAUGCUAGGAAAUAACUUGGAGGAGAAGCCAGGUGGUCCCCCACCCCAAAGAAGCAUGUAACCUAGUCAGAACGACACUACCCCCAGAGACAAUGCAAGAACACCAGAGACAAGCUGGGUCUGGCCACUCUGUGGCUUAUGCAGGCCACUCUGGGCACUGUUUGCCUGUCGAAGCUGCCAACCUCUUUGGAGAGGAGAAUAGAGUUAUUAUCGCCUCCACUGUACACAUGUGAAAACUGUGGAUCACAGAAGAAGAUCCAUACGACAAGGAAAAAAAAAAUUCACAGGACGUAUCAAUGGCAAAUAAUCAAGAAGAAAACUCACAGGUCUGUCAUUAUUUGGGACAAAAACCUCCACUGCAAAACUUUCAAUAAAGGUGAAACCAUUAAACGUUAGGUAGCAGCAACGUACUGUUCUAGGGACUGCGAGAAGCAGUCUACCUCAAAAUGGCAUGGUUUUGCUAAAGCCAGAUUCUAAGAAAAGUAAGGAUACAUACGAAAAGCAUUAAAAUCCCACUCUGAAAACUGACGAUUCCACGGAAAAUUAGAAGGUACCAGGAAAAUCCAGAAGAUGGACUUUAACUUUAGCUUGACCUCAGCUUCCUAAUGCAUUAAUCACUCAAAUGGAAUGAAUCUGUUCCUGCCGGGGUAGAAUUACACAGUUAUCUGUUAUCCAAUGUCAAACAGGUUAUCCCUUGAUUAAGGUCUUAGCACGGAUGAGAAUUUUAUUGAAAUGAUUUCCAUUAUCUGCACAGCAGUUCAUCACAAAUAUAUUUGGCCCAGUGUAUUUCAAAUGUGAUUUGAUCACACAUCAAAACGUGGACAUUUAAUUCAUUUUAAUCGAGAAAUUAAAUGCAUCUGCCUUGCUUCCUCUCCUGGGGCUCUUUCAUCUCAGGAAAUUCCCACACCAGCAGGUCUGGACAAGUCAUCGGCAGUAACUUCACUCAGCCUGAAUUCUUCCCCCUUUCCCUAAGGCUCUGACUCCAAGUUCUGAUCAUCAAGUUGAAAGGGAAACUUGACAAUCAAAGGAGAUGUAAACAAGAAUAGUCUCUGUCAGUUCAGUGGAGAGAGAGAGAGAAGCUUUAAUGUGCACUGGUCAGUCGGGGUUGAUUCUGCAAGUGUUCAUUAGGAAUCAGUGGAAUUUCCACUGUUUCCCUGGUGUCACUUGGGCUACUGCCUCUUGGCCUGUAUCAAAUACAGCAAAGGAAAAUGGUCCUUGCCUCUCGAAGUGGGACUGGAUGCCAACCAGCCCGAGAGGCAGUGGGUGGUUCACGGUUCUGUUCCCACUGGAGGAUACUCUUGUCUGCCUACCCUCUCGCCUAAGACCUGGAAGGAAGUGCACGGCCAAGGGCACCAGCUGGAGGGGAGCUAGCAGUCAGACCAGGGCAGCAUAGGUUUUGCAGACAGACUCACUUCCUUGCACUGCCAGAAUAUGCUGCUGUUGGGCGAGGAGCCGUGACCUGGGCAGAGGAAAUUCAAGGAGCCAAUUUCUUCUCUGUACAUAGAAAAGGUGGUCCUGUCCUGCUUGUUGGGGGGUCAUCUCUGAAGCCCAGCUCCACUCUGUACCAUCUUGCUAAGAACCAGGAGUCUGGAACAUCUCCCAAAGUCUGCGUGGGGCUCCAUAUCAUGUGCAAUCACUUUGCACCCCGUUUCGAAUGUGGGAGCAAGAGUCAGUCAAUGUUGGAAGGGCUUAGUUAAGACAGCUAGUAAACUUCAGAGCUGAAAUAAUGGCGUAUUCAACCUGCAGCCUGGGAGAAAGUCAAAGAAGAGUACUCUGUCCCAACAGCGGUCCCC
This is a long non-coding RNA of Macaca fascicularis (crab-eating macaque), 2126 nucleotides long. The record is from Ensembl. NCBI's taxonomy places the organism in Eukaryota, Metazoa, Chordata, Mammalia, Primates, Cercopithecidae.